CCUAAAAUUUAAGCUCAGAAUAAACCACCCAAAUUUUCAUUUAUAGAUUGGUUAUGGAUUAUUUUCGUCGACACAGGCGAGUGUGUAAGUUAGCAUAUCACGCUCCUCAUCUGGUCUGUGGUUGCCCUCGUCCCUGGGUGGUCAAGAACAGAGUAUUCCUUCUUUGUGCACUGCUCAGGAUUCUGGCUGAUUUUCAGAAUGUGCAGCCCGUCUCCCAGCCUUGCAGAAGCCCCACCCUCACCAGCAGCCUGGGAGAGCUCACAGUUCUGCCCUGUGCUUUCUUCCUUAUAGACAACUCCUUUUAUUUCCUGGUCUGCCAUCUCAGGAGGGUGGGUGAGACCAAAUCUGUUAUAUCAGUGUCUAGUGGAGCCUAAGCCGAUUCAGGCCAAGACAUUUGGCCGCUUUGAAUGGAUGUUUUGGAAGAUUUUUGAAACUCCAAUCCAGAGGACCACAGAAAGCACAUUUGGACAUGACUGUCGCCUGGAAAAGAAACUGUCAAAAGAGCCGGGACCAGGCUGGGCUGGACACACAUAAUAGACACAGAAUAUCCUGGACGCUGAUCUUGGGCCAGUCCGUAUUUCUGUAAUUGUUCUGCUGUUCACAAAGAGCAAGACCAUGGCCUUAGGAGGGGGGUAGAUUCCGCCAAAGGAAAGUUCCCCUGCCAGUCAUCCGGGAAGAAGACUACUGGGGCAGAAAAUGAGGACUCAGGAUGUGGGCCUUUGGGUUGGUAGAGAAGUUUGUUCUCUCUUUCUCUUUCUUUCUGUCUUAAGAAAGUGGAGUCUACCCUAUGAGGGAAGACAUGCUCCCAGCCACCCCAGAGGUGGCCUGCGCUGGACCCUGCCAUGUGGAGCAAGCUGGGGCUGGUCAGGUAGGUGGCCCUGGGUACCAGCCUGGGAUCUGUGGGCCCUGAGGACAACCACAUUGAUCAAAGUUGUGGGUAUGACCGUGUUUUACUCUCCUUCCACGAUCCCCAAAUUUUGUCAGCUCCUGCUAAAGCUGUGCCUGGGUUCUGUUAAGUAUGAUGCUUUGAGAACAGGGCCCCAGACAUGUUUGGGUAUGAGUGGCUAAGAGGACUCCACAGUGGUGUGCUCAGUGGUGGCAGCUACCACAGAGGAUGGCCAUGUCUGGCAGGGUGGGUGUCACAGAGGGUGUGGGGACCUACCGAGGAAGCUGGAGGGGAAGAACAUAAAGGGCAAGCUCUGGGGCUGGCACAACCCAGCAGGAGGGGCUCUCCGGACUAGUGCGGGACACGCUGCAGGGGCUGAGUGCCCGUGGGGGCCAGUAGGGUUCAAAGAAAAACGUAAUUUGAGUAUUUAAUGGCGAUAAGAUGGUUUAUUAUCAUUGGUGGGGGAAGCCUGAACAUAGCCAUUCUAUUAGAAUUCUAUUAGUAAUAAAAAUAGGUAAUACCAACAAUCUAGUGUGUCAACAUUUUAACAGAACUUUUCACUUCACAAAGAGUUUUUACAUAUGCUCAUCUCUAGCUGAUCCUCAAAUAAUCCUAUAAGAUAUGUAGAACAGGUAUUAGAAUAAUUAUUCUUAUUAAUUACCAGGAUGAACCACACUAAAUCUCUGUAUUUAUAGGUCAAAUGUGGUUAACUGUCAACAGUUUAUAUGGUUCAGCUUAAUGUUAUUACACAAAUCAUAACCAUAAUCAUUAUUAUAAAUGACAACAAUAAGAGGUACCUCUUUUAAAAAA
This is a non-coding RNA of Equus caballus (horse), 1696 nucleotides long. The record is from RefSeq and is a predicted model, not a curated record. NCBI's taxonomy places the organism in Eukaryota, Metazoa, Chordata, Mammalia, Perissodactyla, Equidae.